This 415-nucleotide ribosomal RNA is filed under the name Crepidula cf. onyx RC. RNAcentral's name for it is "partial 28S ribosomal RNA". The record is from RNAcentral. Lineage: Eukaryota; Metazoa; Mollusca; Gastropoda; Littorinimorpha; Calyptraeidae.
AAACCGCCUAGAGGUAAACGGGUGGAUCCGCAAAGUCGGCCCGCGGAAUUCAGCUCGGGAGGUCGCGCGCCCGCGGGUGGGUCGGGGAUCUUUAUCGACCCUCCCACCUCGGGACCGCGCGUCGACCGUGUGCACUUUCCGCGGGCAGAGCGCCACGACCGGUUCUCGGGCGGUCAGAAGGCGGCGGGGAUGGUAGGCGUGCGCUUCGGCGUGCGCUGGUAUAGCCCCGCCUGUCCCGAUCCGCUCGGGGACCGAGGAGCCGCCGCCGGCGUAGGCCGCCUUGCCUUCCUGGGAGGUUCGACUGGCAGAGACUGGGCAACCGUGUCUGCCGACCGCCUCUCUGGAUGGACGGGGUGGGCCCGCCGGCACAGGGUCGGUGGCGAAUCGGUCGGCCCUCCACCCGACCCGUCUUGAA